Molecule: ribosomal RNA, 429 nt
Filed under: Bacteroidota bacterium
Lineage: Bacteria; Pseudomonadati; Bacteroidota
Description: Bacteroidetes bacterium partial 16S ribosomal RNA
Rfam family: Bacterial small subunit ribosomal RNA
Source: RNAcentral
UAGGGAAUCUUCGGCAAUGGGGGGAACCCUGACCGAGCAACGCCGCGUGAGUGAAGAAGGUUUUCGGAUCGUAAAGCUCUGUUGUUAAGGAAGAACGAGUGUGAGAAUGGAAAGUUCAUACUGUGACGGUACUUAACCAGAAAGGGACGGCUAACUACGUGCCAGCAGCCGCGGUAAUACGUAGGUCCCGAGCGUUGUCAGGAUUUAUUGGGCGUAAAGCGAGCGCAGGCGGUUAGAUAAGUCUGAAGUUAAAGGCAGUGGCUCAACCAUUGUAGGCUUUGGAAACUGUUUAACUUGAGUGCAGAAGGGGAGAGUGGAAUUCCAUGUGUAGCGGUGAAAUGCGUAGAUAUAUGGAGGAACACCGGUGGCGAAAGCGGCUCUCUGGUCUGUAACUGACGCUGAGGCUCGAAAGCGUGGGGAGCGAACAGG